Molecule: ribosomal RNA, 492 nt
Filed under: uncultured bacterium
Lineage: Bacteria
Description: partial 16S ribosomal RNA
Rfam family: Bacterial small subunit ribosomal RNA
Source: RNAcentral
AGUGGACGCUGGCGGUAGGCCUAACACAUGCAAGUCGAACGGCAGCACAGUAAGAGCUUGCUCUUACGGGUGGCGAGUGGCGGACGGGUGAGGAAUACAUCGGAAUCUACUUUUUCGUGGGGGAUCACGUAGGGAAACUUACGCUAAUACCGCAUACGACCUACGGGUGAAAGCAGGGGAUCUUCGGACCUUGCGCGAUUGAAUGAGCCGAUGUCGGAUUAGCUAGUUGGCGGGGUAAAGGCCCACCAAGGCGACGAUCCGUAGCUGGUCUGAGAGGAUGAUCAGCCACACUGGAACUGAGACACGGUCCAGACUCCUACGGGAGGCAGCAGUGGGGAAUAUUGGACAAUGGGCGCAAGCCUGAUCCAGCCAUACCGCGUGGGUGAAGAAGGCCUUCGGGUUGUAAAGCCCUUUUGUUGGGAAAGAAAAGCAGCAGGUUAAUACCCCGCUGUUCUGACGGUACCCAAAGAAUAAGCACCGGCUAACUUCGUG